Long non-coding RNA from Equus caballus (horse), 468 nucleotides. RefSeq lists it as uncharacterized. The record is from RefSeq and is a predicted model, not a curated record. NCBI's taxonomy places the organism in Eukaryota, Metazoa, Chordata, Mammalia, Perissodactyla, Equidae.
CGCUCGCGGUGGGUGUUAGUGACCGCCAAGCUGACGAAGAGGGUGCGGCCCCGGGUGGGGCUUCGUCGGGCCGAACGGACCUGCUUGCAGGGUGUGGAAAGCGGGUGCUGGGGAUACAGAGGUGAACACAACACAGACAGGAGCUAUGUUGUCAUGGAGCUACAUUUUAGGGAUAUACCAGGGACAGGAACAUGUAAAAUGACACAUGAAGAUACAAUCAGCCAAAUCCAGAAUGUGAAAAAUUCUGUUGGUCACCCCAUCCAGUUCCUUCAGUAAGUGGCAUCAUCAUCAUCAACCACAAAAAGGGAAGCGGAAUUGUUGUAUGUUAGAAGAGAUCUAGGAGAUACAUCAAUGAAUGCAGCAAGUAGACCUUGCUUGGACCCUCAUUAAACACUAAAAGUUUUUGAGACAAUGGGGAAAAAUUGCAUAUAUACUAAGUAUUAGAUGACAUUAAAGAGUUAUGUUUAA